Molecule: non-coding RNA, 73 nt
Organism: Gopherus flavomarginatus (Mexican gopher tortoise)
Lineage: Eukaryota; Metazoa; Chordata; Testudines; Testudinidae
Source: the annotation of a RefSeq genome assembly
GCCUUCUUAGCGCAGUUGGCAGUGUGUCAGUCUUGUAAUCUGAAGGUCCUGAGUUAAAACCUCAGAGAAAGCA